CCUACGGGAGGCAGCAGUGGGGAAUAUUGCGCAAUGGGCGAAAGCCUGACGCAGCGACGCCGCGUGAGGGAUGAAGGUCUUCGGAUCGUAAACCUCUGUCAGCAGGGAAGAACGGUCACUGUGCUAAUCAGCAGUGAAUUGACGGUACCUGCAAAGGAAGCACCGGCUAACUCCGUGCCAGCAGCCGCGGUAAUACGGAGGGUGCGAGCGUUAAUCGGAAUUACUGGGCGUAAAGCGCUCGUAGGCGGUAUGUCAAGUCAAGGGUGAAAUCCCCGCGCUCAACGUGGGAACUGCCUUUGAAACUGGCAAACUGGAGUGUGUGAGAGGAUAGUGGAAUUCCAGGUGUAGGGGUGAAAUGCGUAGAUAUCUGGAGGAACAUCGGUGGCGAAGGCGACUAUCUGGCACAUAACUGACGCUGAGGAGCGAAAGCGUGGGUAGCAAACAGGAUUAGAUACCCUUGUAGUC
RNAcentral lists this ribosomal RNA (465 nucleotides) under uncultured bacterium. Its description in RNAcentral is "partial 16S ribosomal RNA". It matches the Rfam family "Bacterial small subunit ribosomal RNA", at positions 338 to 795 of the family's 1533-position model. The record is from RNAcentral.